AUUGAACGCUGGCGGCAUGUCUUACACAUGCAAGUCGAACGGCAGCACGGGAGCAAUCCUGGUGGCGAGUGGCGAACGGGUGAGUAAAGUAUCGGAACGUGCCCAGUCGUGGGGGAUAACGUAGCGAAAGUUACGCUAAUACCGCAUACGAUCUAUGGAUGAAAGCGGGGGAUCGCAAGACCUCGCGCGAUUGGAGCGGCCGAUAUCAGAUGAGGUAGUUGGUGGGGUAAAGGCCCACCAAGCCGACGAUCUGUAGCUGGUCUGAGAGGACGACCAGCUACACUGGGACUGAGACACGGCCCAGACUCCUACGGGAGGCAGCAGUGGGGAAUUUUGGACAAUGGGCGAAAGCCUGAUCCAGCCAUGCCGCGUGCAGGAUGGAGGCCUUCGGGUUGUAAACUGCUUUUGUACGGAACGAAAAGGACUGCCCUAAUACGGUGGUCCCAUGACGGUACCGUAAGAAUAAGCACCGGCUAACUACGUGCCAGCCGCCGCAGUAA
This 500-nucleotide ribosomal RNA is filed under the name uncultured bacterium. RNAcentral's name for it is "partial 16S ribosomal RNA". It matches the Rfam family "Bacterial small subunit ribosomal RNA", at positions 30 to 523 of the family's 1533-position model. The record is from RNAcentral.